AUUGAACGCUGGCGGCAUGCUUUACACAUGCAAGUCGAACGGCAGCGCGGGCUUCGGCCUGGCGGCGAGUGGCGAACGGGUGAGUAAUACAUCGGAACGUGCCCAGUAGUGGGGGAUAGCUCGGCGAAAGCCGGAUUAAUACCGCAUACGACCUGAGGGUGAAAGCGGGGGAUCUUCGGACCUCGCGCUAUUGGAGCGGCCGAUGGCAGAUUAGCUAGUUGGUGGGGUAAAGGCCUACCAAGGCGACGAUCUGUAGCUGGUCUGAGAGGACGACCAGCCACACUGGAACUGAGACACGGCCCAGACUCCUACGGGAGGCAGCAGUGGGGAAUUUUGGACAAAGGGCGAAAGCCUGAUCCAGCAAUGCCGCGUGUGUGAUGAAGGCCUUCGGGUUGUAAAGCACUUUUGGCGGGAACGAAAAGGACUGUGCCAAUACCACGGUUCGAUGACGGUACCCGCAGAAUAAGCACCGGCUAACUACGUG
This 484-nucleotide ribosomal RNA is filed under the name uncultured bacterium. RNAcentral describes it as "partial 16S ribosomal RNA". It matches the Rfam family "Bacterial small subunit ribosomal RNA", at positions 29 to 507 of the family's 1533-position model. The record is from RNAcentral.